AAUAGAUUUUCUCCCUUGCUGGCUUUGAUGAAGUAAGCUGUUAUAUGGAGAGUCCCAUGUGGAAGGAAUUAAGGGUGACCUCUUCCAAACAGUCAACAAGGAACUGAGUCCUACCAACAGCCAUGUGAACUUGGAAACAGAUCCUACCCCGACGAGAUUCAGGAUAAAAAAUGAUUCAUGUCUUGCUGGAAAAAGGAGAAAAACAGAGCUGAAGUGAGAAGUGAGAAGUGGUAAGGAGCACCAAUAGGAACAACAUAUGAGCAAAUACAUAAAGCUCCAAACAUCUGAUACCAUCUAAGAAGAGCCAGAUCCCAAACGUGUUCCAGGAUGUUAGCUUUGAACAAACCUUGGCUGAUGCUGGCUUCAACUUUCUGUAGCGUGCACAGUGACUGAUGGAAUGACACCUGCUGUUUACCUGACACUCACCUUCAGUUGUACCCUACCCUGGAUUCCUGAAGGAACACAUACCUUAAACCCCUUUCCAACAUAAACCGCUAACCUCUAGUGAUGACAGCAAGACUUAUUCUCCUUUCCUUUCUGAGUGUCCCAGACACUCCAGCUGCUGUUCUUGGUCACUCACACUAUUCAAUAAACUCUUUCACUUUCUCUGGCUCACAUUUGAUUUCUAUUCUGUGUAAAGCCAAGGACCCUCUUGGCUGAUCCUGUGGGACCCCUAUCCAGGUCCUUGGACCCAGCCUGCCAGUACCAUAAGGAGUUGGGGACUGGAAACACUGACCCUAGGAUACUGUGGCCUAACUGUACAUACCGACAAGCAAUACUGGUAAAUUUUUGGUUAUGCAUAGUCUAUAACCAGCUUGGUCAAAAUAUCAAAAGCUAAUUUUUAAAGAUUUCAUAAUAUGUCCUGGAAGUUUCUAAGUAUUUUACAUGGAUUAUCUAAUGUAAUACUCAAGAUUAAAUGUUUUCACUUCUUUGAAGUUAAGAUUAUUUGCAUUUUAUAGGUAAUGAACCUGAGGUACAGUGAGUUGAUGCAACUUCCUGAUCAAACAGCUGCUAAGGGUGAAUCAAAAUCUGUCUCAAAACAAAAGAAAAAGAAAACACAAUAUUCCAAAACCUAUGGGAUUCAGCAAAAGCAGAUGUUGGAGUGAAAUUUAUGCUACAAAUGCCUGUAUUAAGAAAAAAAAUUCAAAUAAACAACAU
Mustela erminea (ermine) is the source of this 1158-nucleotide long non-coding RNA. RefSeq lists it as uncharacterized. The transcript is spliced from 3 exons. Lineage: Eukaryota; Metazoa; Chordata; Mammalia; Carnivora; Mustelidae. The record is from RefSeq and is a predicted model, not a curated record.